UUAAGCGACUAAGCGUACACGGUGGAUGCCCUGGCAGUCAGAGGCGAUGAAGGACGUGCUAAUCUGCGAUAAGCGUCGGUAAGGUGAUAUGAACCGUUAUAACCGGCGAUUUCCGAAUGGGGAAACCCAGUGUGAUUCGUCACACUAUCAUUAACUGAAUCCAUAGGUUAAUGAGGCGAACCGGGGGAACUGAAACAUCUAAGUACCCCGAGGAAAAGAAAUCAACCGAGAUUCCCCCAGUAGCGGCGAGCGAACGGGGAGCAGCCCAGAGCCUGAAUCAGUGUGUGUGUUAGUGGAAGCGUCUGGAAAGGCGCGCGAUACAGGGUGACAGCCCCGUACACAAAAAUGCACAUGCUGUGAGCUCGAUGAGUAGGGCGGGACACGUGGUAUCCUGUCUGAAUAUGGGGGGACCAUCCUCCAAGGCUAAAUACUCCUGACUGACCGAUAGUGAACCAGUACCGUGAGGGAAAGGCGAAAAGAACCCCGGCGAGGGGAGUGAAAAAGAACCUGAAACCGUGUACGUACAAGCAGUGGGAGCACGCUUAGGCGUGUGACUGCGUACCUUUUGUAUAAUGGGUCAGCGACUUAUAUUCUGUAGCAAGGUUAACCGAAUAGGGGAGCCGAAGGGAAACCGAGUCUUAACUGGGCGUUAAGUUGCAGGGUAUAGACCCGAAACCCGGUGAUCUAGCCAUGGGCAGGUUGAAGGUUGGGUAACACUAACUGGAGGACCGAACCGACUAAUGUUGAAAAAUUAGCGGAUGACUUGUGGCUGGGGGUGAAAGGCCAAUCAAACCGGGAGAUAGCUGGUUCUCCCCGAAAGCUAUUUAGGUAGCGCCUCGUGAAUUCAUCUCCGGGGGUAGAGCACUGUUUCGGCAAGGGGGUCAUCCCGACUUACCAACCCGAUGCAAACUGCGAAUACCGGAGAAUGUUAUCACGGGAGACACACGGCGGGUGCUAACGUCCGUCGUGAAGAGGGAAACAACCCAGACCGCCAGCUAAGGUCCCAAAGUCAUGGUUAAGUGGGAAACGAUGUGGGAAGGCCCAGACAGCCAGGAUGUUGGCUUAGAAGCAGCCAUCAUUUAAAGAAAGCGUAAUAGCUCACUGGUCGAGUCGGCCUGCGCGGAAGAUGUAACGGGGCUAAACCAUGCACCGAAGCUGCGGCAGCGACGCUUAUGCGUUGUUGGGUAGGGGAGCGUUCUGUAAGCCUGUGAAGGUGUACUGUGAGGUAUGCUGGAGGUAUCAGAAGUGCGAAUGCUGACAUAAGUAACGAUAAAGCGGGUGAAAAGCCCGCUCGCCGGAAGACCAAGGGUUCCUGUCCAACGUUAAUCGGGGCAGGGUGAGUCGACCCCUAAGGCGAGGCCGAAAGGCGUAGUCGAUGGGAAACAGGUUAAUAUUCCUGUACUUGGUGUUACUGCGAAGGGGGGACGGAGAAGGCUAUGUUGGCCGGGCGACGGUUGUCCCGGUUUAAGCGUGUAGGCUGGUUUUCCAGGCAAAUCCGGAAAAUCAAGGCUGAGGCGUGAUGACGAGGCACUACGGUGCUGAAGCAACAAAUGCCCUGCUUCCAGGAAAAGCCUCUAAGCAUCAGGUAACAUCAAAUCGUACCCCAAACCGACACAGGUGGUCAGGUAGAGAAUACCAAGGCGCUUGAGAGAACUCGGGUGAAGGAACUAGGCAAAAUGGUGCCGUAACUUCGGGAGAAGGCACGCUGAUAUGUAGGUGAAGUCCCUCGCGGAUGGAGCUGAAAUCAGUCGAAGAUACCAGCUGGCUGCAACUGUUUAUUAAAAACACAGCACUGUGCAAACACGAAAGUGGACGUAUACGGUGUGACGCCUGCCCGGUGCCGGAAGGUUAAUUGAUGGGGUCAGCGCAAGCGAAGCUCUUGAUCGAAGCCCCGGUAAACGGCGGCCGUAACUAUAACGGUCCUAAGGUAGCGAAAUUCCUUGUCGGGUAAGUUCCGACCUGCACGAAUGGCGUAAUGAUGGCCAGGCUGUCUCCACCCGAGACUCAGUGAAAUUGAACUCGCUGUGAAGAUGCAGUGUACCCGCGGCAAGACGGAAAGACCCCGUGAACCUUUACUAUAGCUUGACACUGAACAUUGAGCCUUGAUGUGUAGGAUAGGUGGGAGGCUUUGAAGUGUGGACGCCAGUCUGCAUGGAGCCGACCUUGAAAUACCACCCUUUAAUGUUUGAUGUUCUAACGUUGACCCGUAAUCCGGGUUGCGGACAGUGUCUGGUGGGUAGUUUGACUGGGGCGGUCUCCUCCUAAAGAGUAACGGAGGAGCACGAAGGUUGGCUAAUCCUGGUCGGACAUCAGGAGGUUAGUGCAAUGGCAUAAGCCAGCUUGACUGCGAGCGUGACGGCGCGAGCAGGUGCGAAAGCAGGUCAUAGUGAUCCGGUGGUUCUGAAUGGAAGGGCCAUCGCUCAACGGAUAAAAGGUACUCCGGGGAUAACAGGCUGAUACCGCCCAAGAGUUCAUAUCGACGGCGGUGUUUGGCACCUCGAUGUCGGCUCAUCACAUCCUGGGGCUGAAGUAGGUCCCAAGGGUAUGGCUGUUCGCCAUUUAAAGUGGUACGCGAGCUGGGUUUAGAACGUCGUGAGACAGUUCGGUCCCUAUCUGCCGUGGGCGCUGGAGAACUGAGGGGGGCUGCUCCUAGUACGAGAGGACCGGAGUGGACGCAUCACUGGUGUUCGGGUUGUCAUGCCAAUGGCACUGCCCGGUAGCUAAAUGCGGAAGAGAUAAGUGCUGAAAGCAUCUAAGCACGAAACUUGCCCCGAGAUGAGUUCUCCCUGACUCCUUGAGAGUCCUGAAGGAACGUUGAAGACGACGACGUUGAUAGGCCGGGUGUGUAAGCGCAGCGAUGCGUUGAGCUAACCGGUACUAAUGAACCGUGAGGCUUAACCUU
This 2902-nucleotide ribosomal RNA is filed under the name Escherichia coli. RNAcentral's name for it is "bacterial LSU rRNA". It matches the Rfam family "Bacterial large subunit ribosomal RNA". Lineage: Bacteria; Pseudomonadati; Pseudomonadota; Gammaproteobacteria; Enterobacterales; Enterobacteriaceae. The record is from RNAcentral.